GGGGCGGGGGGAAGAGCGAGAAGGGAGAGUGAAAGAAGAGGAUAGAGAUUUUCUUUCUACUUCAAAAUACAUCUUUCCAGUCACUUUGGUCCCCUGGUUUGUGAUGCAGAGUCCUUCAUUCAGUUUCCAGUGCAACCCUUUCUGAUGAAUUCACCCCAGAGUCACUUUUACUAUCAUGGGAUCCAUCAUAUUAAAAUGGCACUUAGGAGCUGGGUGAGGCAGUGAGGAGGAGGACAAUGGAAAGACUGAGCAGCAAGAAGAGAGGAGGGUGAGGUGUGAACCCACAUGGCUGAGGGGAAAAAGUUAACUGAACUGCCUUGGAAAUAGGCUCCACAUAUUUUUGGAUCAAGCCUUAGUGUUCUAUCUCGUGUGUUUGACAGAUAGAGCGGAUUAUGUUUUAACUUUUCUUCCUCUACAUGACAAAGUUAUUUUGAGGAAUAAUCAUGAAAUGAAACAAAUAAUUAAUGGCCAGGAAACUUUAAAUGGUGAACAUUUUCUUUUACUGACCCUUAUAUGGUCAUGUCAGUAAAAAUAAAUAAAUGAAAAUAAACAUGCCAUUUCAGAUUAGGAAAAGAGAGUGAAUUUUUUUCAUUGACCUUUCCAUAUACAAUCAUACCACUGCAAAAGUUUUUAAAAAUAAAAAGUAAAAUGAAUAGAGUAGUACCAAAUAGGGUAGUGAAAAGGUAAUAAAUUCUUAUUAAAUAUAUUAAUAUAUAUUUUUAAAAGACAUAGGAAAACUUACUUCAUAUUGUGUCCGGAAUUGGUGGCUUCUUGGUCUCACUGACUUCAAGAAUGAAGCCGCGAACCCUGGUGUUUGGGCACAGAACUGACAUCCCUUUGCUCCAGUCUUCCAAACCCUGGCCACGUGAACUAAGCCAUCUGAUUGCUGGGUAUAUCAGCAUCUAGAUUGUGCAAAAUUAUCUGAACUUAUUUUCGUUCCUGCUGAUGCAAGUGCCUGGUGGGUCAAAUCCGGAGCCGGAUGCAUGACAAGAUCCCCUGCCACUCAGCUACUUAUACAACUCUUCUCUCCACAAAUACUAAUUCAGCUUUUAAUUUGAAACUGUUAGGGAAGUUUCAGACAGGGAAAAUAAAGGAGUUAAAAGUAUGCCUGCAGCUCUAAAAUAUGUCAAAUUAGUGUAUUGAUUACUUCAAGCUCAAAGUACUUUGGAAACUGUAGUUCCAGAAGUAACUAUCUGACCUGGCUUUUCCUGCAUAUAGCAAGCCAUAAAACUUCCAUGGAGAAAGAUGCCUUCCCUGUGCCGGGACAAGAAAAUAACCCUAUCCCCAGGAUUGGAAAUUGUUGCUUCAGUAGACCUGUACAAAUAAACUAAAGUAACUCUUA
Long non-coding RNA from Pan troglodytes (chimpanzee), 1342 nucleotides. RefSeq lists it as uncharacterized. The transcript has 4 exons. NCBI's taxonomy places the organism in Eukaryota, Metazoa, Chordata, Mammalia, Primates, Hominidae. The record is from RefSeq and is a predicted model, not a curated record.